Non-coding RNA from Sorex fumeus (smoky shrew), 155 nucleotides. RefSeq annotates it as small Cajal body-specific RNA 1. Lineage: Eukaryota; Metazoa; Chordata; Mammalia; Eulipotyphla; Soricidae. The record is from RefSeq and is a predicted model, not a curated record. The transcript has a single exon.
ACUUACAAAUAAAUAGCUAGGUGUCUUAUUCUUGAUGAAAGGAUAUGAUGUGAUAGCUAGGUUUAAGAAGUGAAAUGUUAAAACAAAAGCCAUUCAUCUUUAAAGCUCAGCAGCGUUUAAAGACACAUUUUGAGCUAUAAUUCACAAGAACAACU